Molecule: ribosomal RNA, 253 nt
Filed under: uncultured bacterium
Lineage: Bacteria
Description: partial 16S ribosomal RNA
Rfam family: Bacterial small subunit ribosomal RNA
Source: RNAcentral
UACGAAGGGAGCUAGCGUUGUUCGGAAUCACUGGGCGUAAAGCGCACGUAGGCGGAUUGUUAAGUCAGGGGUGAAAUCCUGGAGCUCAACUCCAGAACUGCCUUUGAUACUGGCGAUCUUGAGUCCGGGAGAGGUGAGUGGAACUGCGAGUGUAGAGGUGAAAUUCGUAGAUAUUCGCAAGAACACCAGUGGCGAAGGCGGCUCACUGGCCCGGUACUGACGCUGAGGUGCGAAAGCGUGGGGAGCAAACAGG